CCCACUUGUUGAUCAGGACUGAGUACAGAGGGUUCACCAUGGAGCUGGCACUGAGCUGGAUUUUCUUGUUUGCAGUUUUCAAAGGUGUUCAGUGUGAGGUGACACUGGUGGAGUCCGGAGGAGGCUUGGUUCAGCCUAGCGGGUCACUGACACUCUCUUGUAUAGCCUCUGGAUUCACCUUUAGUAGUUAUGGCAUGCACUGGAUUUGCCAGGCUCCAGGGAAAGGGCUGGAGUGGAUCGCAUACCUCUAUAUCGAUGGUAGUAUUAAGUACUAUGCAGACUCCGUGAAGGGCCGAUUCACCAUCUCCAGAGACAAUGGCAAGAACAUGCUAUAUCUGCAAAUGAGCAGCCUGAGAUCCGAGGACACGGCCAUGUAUUAUUGUACAACACGCACAGUGAGGGAAUGCCACCAUGAGCCCAGACAAAAACCUCCCUGUAGGGAUGCCAAUACCCAGCGGGUGGCACUGUGCCAUUUUGAGAAAUUGGCUGGGCCCCAGGAGCAGGAAAAGCCUCAAGCCGAGAGUGGAGGGAGCACUGAUGGGGAGACGCUGGAUGACUGGAGGACAGAAGAGGUCCAACAUGAGGUCACAUCAUGCUCCUGGUGUCCACAAACCCCACAUGAUAACUUCAAAAGCCCUAGGGUCUGA
Non-coding RNA from Octodon degus (degu), 647 nucleotides. NCBI's taxonomy places the organism in Eukaryota, Metazoa, Chordata, Mammalia, Rodentia, Octodontidae. The record is from the annotation of a RefSeq genome assembly.